GACGAGCGCUGGCGGCGUGCUUAACACAUGCAAGUCGAGCGGAAAGGCCCUUUCGGGGGUACUCGAGCGGCGAACGGGUGAGUAACACGUGAGCAACCUGCCCCUAGGUUUGGGAUAACCCUCGGAAACGGGGGCUAAUACCGGAUAUGACGUAGUGUCGCAUGGCAUCUGCGUGGAAAGUUUUUCGCCUGGGGAUGGGCUCGCGGCCUAUCAGCUUGUUGGUGGGGUAAUGGCCUACCAAGGCGACGACGGGUAGCCGGCCUGAGAGGGCGACCGGCCACACUGGGACUGAGACACGGCCCAGACUCCUACGGGAGGCAGCAGUGGGGAAUAUUGCGCAAUGGGCGGAAGCCUGACGCAGCGACGCCGCGUGAGGGAUGACGGCCUUCGGGUUGUAAACCUCUUUCAGUAGGGACGAAGCGCAAGUGACGGUACCUACAGAAGAAGCACCGGCCAACUACGUGCCAGCAGCCGCGGUAAGACGUAGGGUGCAAGCGUAGUCCGGAUUUAUUGGGCGUAAAGAGCUCGUAGGCGGCUCGUCGCGUCGACCGUGAAAACCUACUGCUUAACAGUGGGCUUGCGGUCGAUACGGGCGGGCUAGAGUUCGGUAGGGGAGACUGGAAUUCCUGGUGUAGCGGUGAAAUGCGCAGAUAUCAGGAGGAACACCGGUGGCGAAGGCGGGUCUCUGGGCCGAUACUGACGCUGAGGAGCGAAAGCGUGGGGAGCGAACAGGAUUAGAUACCCUGGUAGUCCACGCCGUAAACGUUGGGCGCUAGAUGUGGG
Molecule: ribosomal RNA, 783 nt
Filed under: uncultured Actinomycetes bacterium
Lineage: Bacteria; Bacillati; Actinomycetota; Actinomycetes
Description: bacterial SSU rRNA
Rfam family: Bacterial small subunit ribosomal RNA
Source: RNAcentral